This 472-nucleotide ribosomal RNA is filed under the name uncultured bacterium. RNAcentral's name for it is "partial 16S ribosomal RNA". It matches the Rfam family "Bacterial small subunit ribosomal RNA", at positions 28 to 507 of the family's 1533-position model. The record is from RNAcentral.
GACGAACGCUGGCGGCGUGCUUAACACAUGCAAGUCGAACGCUGAAGCUUGGUGCUUGCACUGGGUGGAUGAGUGGCGAACGGGUGAGUAAUACGUGAGUAACCUGCCCUUGACUCUGGGAUAAGCCUGGGAAACUGGGUCUAAUACUGGAUAUGACAUGCCACUGCAUGGUGGUGUGUGGAAAGGGUUUUACUGGUUUUGGAUGGGCUCACGGCCUAUCAGCUUGUUGGUGGGGUAAUGGCCUACCAAGGCGACGACGGGUAGCCGGCCUGAGAGGGUGACCGGCCACACUGGGACUGAGACACGGCCCAGACUCCUACGGGAGGCAGCAGUGGGGAAUAUUGCACAAUGGGCGGAAGCCUGAUGCAGCGACGCCGCGUGAGGGAUGACGGCCUUCGGGUGGUAAACCUCUUUCAGCACGGAAGAAGCGAGAGUGACGGUACGUGCAGAAGAAGCGCCGGCUAACUACGUG